Non-coding RNA from Acanthosepion pharaonis, 109 nucleotides. NCBI's taxonomy places the organism in Eukaryota, Metazoa, Mollusca, Cephalopoda, Sepiida, Sepiidae. The record is from the annotation of a GenBank genome assembly.
AUACGGCCAUAUCACAUUGAAACACAGGUUCCCGUGUGAUCACUGAAGUUAAGCAAUGUAAAGCUUGGUACCUAGAUGGGUGACUGCUUGGGAAUACCAGGUGCUGUAA